UGUAGCUUAUUUGAUGUGUGUAUGUGAAUAUUUGUGAUGUGCUGUACAUCAAAUCAAUUGCAUGUGCUCUAUUGCUCUGAAUUUGUUCUGAAUUGGUAGUUGACCAUUUUGGAAGAAAAAGUACAACAAAUAAAGAUCUGUGUAGCCCUCUGAAUGAUUGUCUCAACCCAAAGUGGCCCCCUUACAAAAAAAUGGUGAGUAACACUGCUGUAGAAGAUGUAUUGAGGGACGCUGGGAUCAAGAUGUUCUGAAAGGGUUCUACAGCUGUGCUCAGUGCAGACAGACCUUCACUCCAAGGCCUACUCUGAGGAAAAAUAAGAUGUUGGCUGAGUUGGUGGAGAAACUGAAGAAGACAUGACUCCAGGAUGAAGCCUCCUGCUCUGUGCCAUGCUGGACCUGGAGAUGUGGCCUGUGAUUUCUGCACUGGGACCAGAAACCCCUCAUGUCCUGUCUGAUGUGUCUGGUGUCUUACUGUGAGGCUCACCUCCAACCUCACUAUGAAAUUCCUGGACUUAAGAAGCACAAGCUGUUGGACGUUUACUGUCGUACUGAUCAACCGUGUAUCUGUUAUCUUUGUGUUAUGGAUGAACAUAAAGGCCAUGAUACAGUGUCAGCUGCAGCAGAGAGAACUGAGAAACAGCCAGCUGGGGAUGAGUCAGCAGUUCCAGCAGAGAGUCCAGGACAGAGAGAAGGUUCUGAAGGAGCUCCAACAGGCUGGUCACAUAAACAUAUUAAACAGAUUUUAUUGCAGGUGUAGAGGAAUGCUUAUGUUCCAAUCUCCAAUAGUUCAGGGAUAUUUAACAACACAAAACAAAAAUAAUGUAGUAACUUAAUAAGAAAUAUAUACAUAUUAGGAUGAGGAAUGUCAGAGUCCGCAAAAUCAAUAAAUAAAUAUAUAUCUAUAUGAUGGGACGUAUAGACAUUACGGACAUAAAUAUAUGGAUUGAAUAUGUUCUUUAAUUGUAGAAUAUGUAGGAUAGAAUAGUAUUUGUACAGCAAUUAUUAUGUAGGAUAGGUCUUGUCUAGAGUACAGUAUUUACAUAUGAAGGGUGUAAAACAGUAUGUAAACAUUACUGAAGUGACCAGUGUUCCAUGACUAUGUACCUAGGGCAGCGGUCUCUAAGGUGCAGGGUUGAGUAACUGGGUAGAUUAUGGUUAGUGACAGGAAGGCCGGUGCCACAGGAAGGCCAGGAAGAUCAUCAAGGACCUUAGACAGGGCAUGGUACUGGGCGGAGGCCGGCUAGUGGUGACUAUUUAACAGUCUGAUGGACUUGAGAUUAAAGCUGUUUUUCAGUCUCUCUGUCCCAGCUUUGAUGCACCUCUACUGACCUCACCUUCUUGUUGAUAGUGGAGUGACAAGGCCGUGGUUCUGGUGGCUAAGGUCCUCAAUGAUCUUAUUGGCCUUCCUGUGACACCGGGUGCUGUAGGUGUCCUGGAUGGAGGACAGUGUGCCCCCGGUGAUGCUUUGGCCAGAACGCACCACCCUCUGGAGAGCCCUGCAGUUGCCGACGGUGCAGUUGCCAUACCAGGCGGUGACACAGCCUGACCCGAUACUCUCAAUGGGACAUCGAAUUUCUUCGGCUUAAUGAGGUCGAAGACGCACUGUUGAGGAUUCUUCACCACACUGCCUGUGUGUAUGGACCCUUUCAGAUUGUCAGUAAUGUGUACGCUGAGGAACUUGAAGCUUUUCACCUUCUCCACUGCGUCCUGUCGAUGUGGAUGGGAGCGUGCCCGCUCUGCUGUCUUCUGAAGUCCACGAUCAGCUCCUUCAUUUUGUUGACGUUGAGGGAGAGGUUUUUUCUUGGCACUACUCCGCCAGGGUCCUCAGUUCCUCCCUGUAGGCUGUUUUAUCAUUGUUGUUAAUCAGGCCUACUACUGCUGUGUCGUCUGCAAACAAUGAUUGAGUUGGAGGCGUGCGUGGCCAUGCAGUCAUGGGUGAACAGGGAAUACAGGAGGGGGCUGAACACGCACCCUUGUGGUGCCCCUGUGUUGCGGAUCAGCGUAGUGGAGGUGUUGUUUCUUACCUUCACCCCCUGGGGGCGUCCCGUCAGGAAGUCCAGGACCCAGUUGCACAGGGCGGGGUUCAGACCCAGGGCCCCGCGCCUAAUGAUGAACUUGGAGGGUACUAUGGUGUUGAAGGAUGAUCUAUUGUCAAUGAACAGCAUUCUUACAUAGGUGUUGCUCUUGUCCAGAUUGGAUAGGGCAGUGUGCAGUGCGAUGGCGAUUGCAUCAUCUGUGGAUCUAUUGGGGCCAUAGGUCACCACACUAGAGUGAAACUUUAUAAUGCACUUUUCUGAUUUGAUCUUUAGAUAUUUAUUUACUUUACUGUUGUAUAUCUUGUACAUUCAGGUUCAUCUCAAAAUAUUUUUUACUUUCAUAUCAAAGACUGAAUAUUGUUAGUCAUCACUUAUUAUUAUCUACGUAUGCUUUUGAAUCAAUAUGGGGUCUCUGAUAUUAAUGUGUUCUUACUGACCUGUAACUUACUGACCUGUAACUAAUAGGUACUUAGUUAUGUGAAAAUUCAAAUUAAGAUUUGAUUGGGACACUUCGCAGAUAUUGCUUGAUCAACCAUCAUCAGCCUGUCCAGCCGAUGGCAAUGUUCACCAAACAAUAGACACCGUUGCUAAUCAAUUGACGUAAUAAUCGUGGUCCAUUAAAACUCAAAACCCCCUUUGCUACAUACAUUUUUAGAAUACUCUAAAAUCUCAAGGUAUAAAAUGAAUGCUGAAAAAAUCUAAUGAAUAAUGGCAAUAAGAACAAUCGAAUGAAUAACUUAUGAUUUACAGCGAUCCUUUAAGUGGACAACAACAGAUAUCCAAUACAACUCACUUAAUAAGUGACCACAAACAACAAAUAUAUUUAUCCCAAUUAAAUUGAACAAUCUUCCCAUAAAUCUUACAGGUGAAAUAAACCUCUUCAGAGUGGCAUGGCUCCCAAAGUUCAGCUUAUUAUUCUCGAUAUAGUCAUAGUUCAAUGCACUAAAGAGGAACAAUGGGUACAUAUUGAAGAUGCUCAUCCCCAGAAUCUUUUCAGGUGCCUAUUUUCAAAAAGUAAAGCUGAGAACAUGCAUAAUUUCAUAGUUAAGAACACUAAUUCAAAAUUCAAAAGGCACUUGCACAUCUGAGCAAUCUUUUUUUGCAGGUGCCUGGUAACAGUUGAACAAGAUGAAUGAAAAAGGAAACCGCACACUGCUCUUGAUAGUAUCACUGAUCUUUAAUAAGCUUAAGUAUCGGCCUCAUGGCCUUCGUCAGAGAUUUUUUUCACAAAAGCUUAUUAAAGAUCAGUGAUACUAUCAAGAGCAGUGUGCGGUUUCCUUUUUCCUUCAUAGUUAAGAACACUAUAUCAACAUGGAAUAUAAUGAAACGUAUUCUACAUGAAUUAAUAUCACUCCCUAAAACACAAACCUAUGGAUCAAUCGUUGGAAGCUUUUCAGAAUUCACCAACACGUUGGUCCACAUGACUUGUAAAUGACUUGAUAAUAGGAAAUACACGUAUUUCCAUGACAGAAUUAAAAGCAAUUAGGGACUGACCAAUGUAGAUCAUUUCAAAUACAUGCAACAUAAAAACGUAACAUCCCGAAAUUUCGAUAUCAAAGCAGUCUUUGGGGAAUCCUUUUUGUGUCAGGAUGUUCAUACAGUAGGUAAGAUAUAAAACCUUGCAGAGAGCCUAUCCAACUGACAAUCUCUUAGAAAAAAAAAUAAACUAUUGGAACCAAGACUUAAAAAGAACUGACAUUGGCACUAGAUGAAGGGAAAGUUGGAACAUAACUAGCGAAAUUACAGUUAACGAAAAUGUAUGCAGAAUAAAGGAAAGUAAAGAAUUUAUAAUAAAAGACACAACAUUCACUAAUUCUACAGCACGAUGGCAUAAUCAUGUUUUAAGUGUCAAAUAAUUAAUGUCUUCUGGGAGUACUUUCAAGUCCAAAAGUUAUGUGCGGAGUUAGAAAGUUGGCUGUCAGAGGUUUUAGACCCACUGGCUCCAGGUCAUCUAUAAGUCCAUGCUAGGUAAAGCUCCGCCUUAUCUCAGUUCACUGGUCACGGUAACAACACCGACCCGUAGCACACGUUCCAGCAGGAAUAUCUCCCUGAUCAUCCCCAAAGCCAGCACCUCAUUUGGCCGCCGUUCCUUCCAGUUCUCUGCUGCCAGUGACUGGAACGAAUUGCAAAAAUCGCUGAAGUUGGAGACUUUUAUUUCCCUCACCAACUUUAAACAUCAACUAUCUGAGCAGCUAACCGAUCGCUGCAGCUGUACAUAGUCCAUCUGUAAAUAGCCCACCCAAUCUACCUACCUCAUCCCCAUACUGUUUUUAUUUUAUUUACUUUUCUGCUCUUUUGCACACCAGUAUCUCUACUUGCACAUCAUCCUCUGCUCAUUUAUCACUCCAGUGUUAAUCUGCUAAAUUGUAAUUAUUCGCUCCUAUGGCCUAUUUAUUUUCUACCUCCUCAUGCCUUUUGCACACACUGAAUAUAGACUUUCUAUUUUCUACUGUGUCAUUGGCUUGUUUAUUGUUUACUCCAUGUGUAACUCUGUGUUGUUGUCUGUGUCACACUGCUUUGCUUUAUCUUGGCCAGGUCGCAGUUGUAAAUGAGAACUUGUUCUCAACUAGCCUACCUGGUU
RNAcentral lists this long non-coding RNA (4617 nucleotides) under Oncorhynchus mykiss (rainbow trout). RNAcentral describes it as "lncRNA (ENSOMYG00000050659.1)". Lineage: Eukaryota; Metazoa; Chordata; Actinopteri; Salmoniformes; Salmonidae. The record is from RNAcentral.